Macaca fascicularis (crab-eating macaque) is the source of this 302-nucleotide unclassified non-coding RNA. It matches the Rfam family "Metazoan signal recognition particle RNA". Rfam says of the family: The signal recognition particle (SRP) is a universally conserved ribonucleoprotein. It is involved in the co-translational targeting of proteins to membranes. Lineage: Eukaryota; Metazoa; Chordata; Mammalia; Primates; Cercopithecidae. The record is from Ensembl.
AUUGGAGUCAAGCAGCAGUGCAUUCCUGUACUCCCAGCUAUUUCGGACAUUGAGCAAGGAGGAUUGCUUGAGUCCAAGAGUUCUGGGCUGUAGUGCACUACACUGAUUGGUUGUCUGCACUAAGUUCGGCAUCAGUAUGGUGACUUCCUGGGAGUGGGGACCACCAGGUUGCCUAAGGAAGGGUGAACCAGCCCAGGUCAGAAAUGGAGCAAGUCGAAACUCCCAUGCUGAUCAGUAGUGGGUAGUGCCUGUGAAUAGCCACUGCACUCCAGCCUGGACAAUAUAGCAAGACCCUAUCUCUU